RNAcentral lists this ribosomal RNA (244 nucleotides) under uncultured Staphylococcus sp. Its description in RNAcentral is "partial 16S ribosomal RNA". It matches the Rfam family "Bacterial small subunit ribosomal RNA", at positions 96 to 334 of the family's 1533-position model. The record is from RNAcentral. Lineage: Bacteria; Bacillati; Bacillota; Bacilli; Caryophanales; Staphylococcaceae.
CGGCGGACGGGUGAGUAACACGUGGAUAACCUACCUAUAAGACUGGGAUAACUUCGGGAAACCGGAGCUAAUACCGGAUAAUAUAUUGAACCGCAUGGUUCAAUAGUGAAAGACGGUUUUGCUGUCACUUAUAGAUGGAUCCGCGCCGCAUUAGCUAAUUGGUAAGGUAACGGCUUACCAAGGCAACGAUGCGUAGCCGACCUGAGAGGGUGAUCGGCCACACUGGAACUGAGACACGGUCCAG